GUCUAUGGCCGUGCCACCCUGAACAAGCCCGAACCCUUCUGAUCUCGAAAGCUAAGCAGGGUCGGGGCUGGUUAGUACUUGGAUGGGAGACUACCUUGGAAGACCAGGUGCUGUAGGUG
This 119-nucleotide ribosomal RNA is filed under the name Pteropus alecto (black flying fox). The record is from RNAcentral. Lineage: Eukaryota; Metazoa; Chordata; Mammalia; Chiroptera; Pteropodidae.